GAUAAGCAGAGGAGAUAGAGCACAUCUGAGUUGGAAUCGCCGCAUGCCCAUCAGGAGGCCAGGGCUGUGAACCUGCCCGAUCACUGGCAGUCAACCAGGCCCUUCUUUAUCUGGAAAAACUGCCCUUAGGACAGCCUAGUGCUGCAGUGAACAAUGGAGGGAAAUGGAAGCCCAAGCUUCGGUGCUGGGAUCCUGCCACCCACACUCCUUUGCACUGUUAUUUCUGGCAAAGCAGACGUGUGGGAAGAGGUACGAAUGAAGCCUGCGAACGAAGCGGAAGUGGAAACGCGGUGGUACGAGGGAAAUUGAAGAUUGUUUGCCCAGCUUCAGGGAUUUAGUUACAAAAGAGUCAGAGAGCAGCGUCAGUGGGUGUGGGGUGGUGGCUGUUACAGCCUGUGUCUGGAACAUCGCGCAGAGGCUCCUGGGUUGAAGACUUGGUUCCCAGGGCUGCAGUAUUCAGAGGUGGGGCUUUGGGAAGUGUUAGGAUCAAGAGGGUUCAGAGCUCAUCAAUGAAGCCAUCCACUGAGAGUGGAUUUUUUAGUUUGAUGGGUUUGGGACAAGAUGGAAACUUAUGAGGUGGGGUCUAGCUGAAAAGAGGUCCUUGGCGGUGUGCCCUUUGGGGGACAGUAUCUCAUUCUUGACCUUGUUACUUUCUGACCACCGUGAGGUCAAACGGACCCACUUGAGGUUAACUUCUUUGGAGUUCCUUCCUAUGUGGAUUUCAGAGAGCCUGGAAGGCUGAGCCUCAUUAUGAUGCAACAACCAACCAUGGAUUCCGGUUGUGGCCAUUAGGGGGCAGCAUUUUGGGUUCUGUUCAUUUCCAGAGGCCGUCCUCAUCGGGCUACAGUGAUGUCACCUGAGGGACAGAAUGCACACCUGUCUGAGCUAUGCAGUUCGUGAACCCAAAGCCAGGCCUUUGUUUCAACUGAGCCCAAGAAUAAGAGGCUGAGUCCGUGGAUGGCCUCACUGGGAAGGCUGGUCACCUGAUAUGGCAAGGUGGGGUGAACACCAGAGGACUGUAUCUGUUGUACUUCAUCGCCAU
RNAcentral lists this small RNA (1042 nucleotides) under Rattus norvegicus (Norway rat). RNAcentral describes it as "uncharacterized LOC102547978". Lineage: Eukaryota; Metazoa; Chordata; Mammalia; Rodentia; Muridae. The record is from RNAcentral.